ACGGAGGGUGCAAGCGUUAUCCGGAUUCACUGGGUUUAAAGGGUGCGUAGGCGGGCAGGUAAGUCAGUGGUGAAAUCCUGGAGCUCAACUCCAGAACUGCCAUUGAUACUAUCUGUCUUGAAUAUUGUGGAGGUAAGCGGAAUAUGUCAUGUAGCGGUGAAAUGCUUAGAUAUGACAUAGAACACCCAUUGCGAAGGCAGCUUACUACGCAUAUAUUGACGCUGAGGCACGAAAGCGUGGGGAUCAAACAGG
This 252-nucleotide ribosomal RNA is filed under the name uncultured bacterium. Its description in RNAcentral is "partial 16S ribosomal RNA". It matches the Rfam family "Bacterial small subunit ribosomal RNA", at positions 525 to 776 of the family's 1533-position model. The record is from RNAcentral.